RNAcentral lists this ribosomal RNA (253 nucleotides) under uncultured bacterium. Its description in RNAcentral is "partial 16S ribosomal RNA". It matches the Rfam family "Bacterial small subunit ribosomal RNA", at positions 524 to 776 of the family's 1533-position model. The record is from RNAcentral.
GACAGAGGGUGCGAACGUUGCUCGGAAUUACUGGGCGUAAAGCGCGUGUAGGCGGACUGGUAAGUCGGACGUGAAAUCCCUGGGCUCAACCCAGGAACUGCAUCCGAAACUAUCAGUCUGGAGUGGUGGAGAGGAAAGCAGAAUUCCUGGUGUAGAGGUGAAAUUCGUAGAUAUCAGGAGGAACACCGGUGGCGAAGGCGGCUUUCUGGACAAUAACUGACGCUGAGACGCGAAAGCGUGGGGAGCAAACAGG